ACAGAAACGACAGUCUGGACAAAUAAAACCCUCCCAUACGACACUGACUUCUUCAUUCAUCCUCCACUUCUCCCUAUUAUUCUUUUUGUGUCAUUCAUCAACUAUCCAUCUCUCUCUGCACCUGUCUGUCCUUCACCUGUCUGUCUCACUCUGUUGCACUCUCUCAUAUAUAUAUAUAUAUAUACACACACACAAACAUAAAUAUAUUCUGUGCAGCUUGUCCAUAAAUCCAGUAAAGCACACAAAGUUCAAGUGUAAAUUGCACUUCCUUAUUACUAACAGAAAGGCUUCACACACACACACACGCAUACAUGCACGCACGCACACACACACACACACUCCUUUUGCUUGUGUAAGCAUGCUGAUUGACCCAAUAUUGUGGUUCCCCUGAUUACAAGAUCAUAUAUUUGAAAAAAAAAAGAAAAAAAAAGAAAGAAGCUAAACUACAUUUCCCACAAUUCAGUGGGAAGUGUCACAAAACGAGGAAGUUGGUUUGAAUUGCAAAUGUGAAGCGAAUCAGCUGGCCCCAGCGGCGCUUCGAUUUGAAUAAGUACACGAUCAAACAACACCGUUCCACAAAAACAGAUGUGUCCUUUAGAAAAUGUACACAGACAGACACACACACCCUUUCACAUACACACACUUUCUCACACACACACAAAAUGACAUUUAUGCAAACAUAUGUAAAUGUAGACGGACAGAAAUAGAGAUGAAAUGAAGACGCAGCUUCACCGUUUCUCUCUUUGACUUUCUCACGUACAGAACUGUACGUAGCGAACAUUCUGCUUCCCGACUGAUUUUAUAACAUCAAGUCUAAUAUAUAGAAAUAUUUCUAUUUUCUCCUCAUUUACGCAGCUCAAUGUGUCCUUUCUAGCUAAUUUUUCUAAAAAAAAUCUAGCCUCUCAUAGAGCGCUCAUUUCAGUAGAGUUCCUAUUGACUAGUAUUUUGUUUAUCCAACAUUAUAAGUGUAAGCAUUUUGUUUAUAGACAUUAUAAGGUGUAGUAUUUUGUUUAUAGACAUUAUAAGGUGUAGUAUUUUGUUUAUAGACAUUAUAAGGUGUAGUAUUUUGUUUAUAGACAUUAUAAGGUGUAGUAUUUUGUUUAUAGACAUUAUAAGGUGUAGUAUUUUAUGUAGCUAAUCUUCUCAUUUCUAGCCGACAGUGCAGUUUAUAAUAUUUCACUUUACUGACUGUUUUUCAGCUGAUGUUCUGUUCUGCAGUAUUUACACACUGUUUAUCUCCCACACAAACACUACACACACUGGAUAUAUUACAUAAACAUAUAUAUAAUUAUAUAAACUUUCGGUUCUCAGUGGCGUGAAUGAAUACUACAGCACUGUGGAAAUACGGGUCGUACCUAAAACAGGUAUUUAUGCUUGUAGUCAUGGUUACAGUCCGACAAAUGUGUAUAACAGAAGCAUCAGUGACGUAGAACCAGGAUUAAACGUGUGACUGGUUGUAAAGUGUCCCACAAGUCUCCAGACAUAGGGGGAAAAUAUCGUCCAAAAUAUUUCGUGCUCAGUUUAUAUUGUAUAUUGUACAGAUGCAUCUCAAAAAAUUAGAAAAUCGUGGAAAUGUUCAAUUUUAUGUGUAAUUUAAUUCAAAAAGUGGAAAUUUCAUAUUUUCCGGGUUCAUUACACACAGUGAAAUAUUUCGAGCCUUGUUUUAUUUUAAUCUCGAUGAUUACGGCUUACAGCGCACGGAAAUCAAACAUCCAGCAUCUGAAAAUAUUAUAAUAGAGAAUUUAUAAUACAGAAACGUCGACCUGAGAAGACUCUGAUCAGCAAAUUAACUUAAAACACCUGCAAAGGUUUCCUGAGUCUUUAAUCUCGCAGUCUGGGUCAGUACACACACAACCACGGGGAAGAUGAAAGUACAUUUGGAAAUCAAGGUUCCGGAGUCUGGAGGAAGAGUGGAGAGGAACAGAAUCCGAGCUGCUUGGAGUCCAGUGUGAAGUUUCCACAGUCGGUGAUGAUUUGAGGUGUCAUGUCAUCUGCUGGUGUCGGUCCAGUGUGUUUUCUCAAGUCAAGAGUUGACGCAGCGUCUACCAGGAGAUUUUAGAUACUUCCAUCUGCUGACGAGUUUUAUGGAGACGCUGAUUUCCUUCUCCAGCAGAACUCUGCACCUGCCCACAGUGCCAAAACCUCUAGUAACCGGUUUACUGACCGUGGUAUUACUGUGCUUUACUGUCCAGCCGCCUCGCCUGACCCGAACCCCAUAGAGAAUCUACGAGAGACACCAGACCCGACGAUACAGACGAGCUGAAGACCGCUAUCAAAGCAACCUGGACCUCCAGAACACCUCAGCAGCGCCACAGGCUGAUCGCCUCCACGCCACGCCGCACUGACGCAGUCAUUCCUGCAGGAGGAUUAAAACCCCGACCGAGUAUCAGCUCAUAAUUUAACACCCUGUUCACAAGGUCCACAUUUCUGUAUUACAAACUCCUUAUUCGGAUAUUCUGAGAUAGCGGAUUUUUUAU
Long non-coding RNA from Ictalurus punctatus (channel catfish), 2477 nucleotides. Lineage: Eukaryota; Metazoa; Chordata; Actinopteri; Siluriformes; Ictaluridae. The record is from Ensembl.